RNAcentral lists this ribosomal RNA (61 nucleotides) under Hepatozoon griseisciuri. RNAcentral describes it as "small subunit ribosomal RNA". Lineage: Eukaryota; Apicomplexa; Hepatozoidae. The record is from RNAcentral.
AGGGAGAUGGAAGUAGAAAUCGUUAGUAACCGUCAUAAGGAUUGGUCGGUGAAUCAGCUGG